Molecule: ribosomal RNA, 460 nt
Filed under: uncultured bacterium
Lineage: Bacteria
Description: partial 16S ribosomal RNA
Rfam family: Bacterial small subunit ribosomal RNA
Source: RNAcentral
CCUACGGGAGGCAGCAGUGAGGAAUAUUGGUCAAUGGACGAGAGUCUGAACCAGCCAAGUAGCGUGAAGGAUGACUGCCCUAUGGGUUGUAAACUUCUUUUAUAUGGGAAUAAAAUGUUCCACGUGUGGGAUUUUGUAUGUACCAUAUGAAUAAGGAUUGGCUAACUCCGUGCCAGCAGCCGCGGUAAUACGGAGGAUCCGAGCGUUAUCCGGAUUUAUUGGGUUUAAAGGGAGCGUAGGUGGAUUGUUAAGUCAGUUGUGAAAGUUUGCGGCUCAACCGUAAAAUUGCAGUUGAAACUGGCAGUCUUGAGUACAGUAGAGGUGGGCGGAAUUCGUGGUGUAGCGGUGAAAUGCUUAGAUAUCACGAAGAACUCCGAUUGCGAAGGCAGUUCACUGGACUGCAACUGACACUGAGGCUCGAAAGUGUGGGUAUCAAACAGGAUUAGAUACCCCUGUAGUC